UGGGGAAUCUUCCGCAAUGGGCGAAAGCCUGACGGAGCAACGCCGCGUGAGUGAAGAAGGUUUUCGGAUCGUAAAGCUCUGUUAUCGGGGGCGAAAGGUGAGACUGUGAAUAAUGGUUUCAUAAGACGGUACCUGAUGAGAAAGCCACGGCUAACUACGUGCCAGCAGCCGCGGUAAUACGGAGGAUGCGAGCGUUAUCCGGAUUUAUUGGGUUUAAAGGGUGCGUAGGUGGUUUAUUAAGUCAGCGGUGAAAGUUUGCAGCUCAACUGUAAAAUUGCCGUUGAAACUGGUAGACUUGAGUGUAAAUGAGGUAGGCGGAAUUCCUAGUGUAGCGGUGAAAUGCGUAGAUAUUAGGAGGAACACCAGUGGCGAAGGCGGCCUGCUGGGCCUUAACUGACGCUGAGGCUCGAAAGCGUGGGGAGCAAACA
RNAcentral lists this ribosomal RNA (428 nucleotides) under uncultured bacterium. RNAcentral's name for it is "bacterial SSU rRNA". It matches the Rfam family "Bacterial small subunit ribosomal RNA", at positions 355 to 774 of the family's 1533-position model. The record is from RNAcentral.